RNAcentral lists this long non-coding RNA (237 nucleotides) under Brassica rapa (field mustard). RNAcentral describes it as "long non-coding RNA (BRAP_LNC008271)". Lineage: Eukaryota; Viridiplantae; Streptophyta; Magnoliopsida; Brassicales; Brassicaceae. The record is from RNAcentral.
UUUUCGGGUAGUUUUUAGUUAGCGUUUUUGGGGAGAUAGCUAGGGGUGCUGGAUAGUCUUUGUAGCCAGUAGCCAAGGUGGGUUUCCUGUGUGUUUCUUGUGUGUGUGUUUUGUUUGCAGGUUCGAGCUUGACCAACGGGUCUUAAACGGAGACUCGGGGCAUAGUUAAUCGAUUUUCUGCAGGGCCCCGGGGAAAGUGUGUGCUGCAUGCAUACAUGUUGUGUGAUUGAUUGGUUG